GACGAACGCUGGCGGCGUGCUUAACACAUGCAAGUCGAACGGAAAGACCCUUCUUUUGUGGGGUGCUCGAGUGGCGAACGGGUGAGUAACACGUGAGUAACCUGCCCUUGACUUUGGGAUAACUUCAGGAAACUGGGUCUAAUACCGGAUAGGAGCUCCUGCUGCAUGGUGUGGUUUGGAAAGUUUCGGCGGUUGGGGAUGGACUCGCGGCUUAUCAUCUUGUUGGUGGGGUAGUGGCUUACCAAGGGUUUGACGGGUAGCCGUCCUGAGAGGGUGACCGGCCACAUUGGGACUGAGAUACGGCCCAGAAUCCUACGGGAGGCAGCAGUGGGGAAUAUUGCACAAUGGGCGGAAGCCUGAUGCAGCAACGCAGCGUGGGGGAUGACGGCCUUCGGGUUGUAAAAAGAUUUCGCAUGUGACGAAGAGUGAGUGACGGUAAUGGGUAAAGAAGCAACGGCUAACUACGUG
This 468-nucleotide ribosomal RNA is filed under the name uncultured bacterium. Its description in RNAcentral is "partial 16S ribosomal RNA". It matches the Rfam family "Bacterial small subunit ribosomal RNA", at positions 28 to 507 of the family's 1533-position model. The record is from RNAcentral.